RNAcentral lists this ribosomal RNA (497 nucleotides) under uncultured bacterium. RNAcentral's name for it is "partial 16S ribosomal RNA". It matches the Rfam family "Bacterial small subunit ribosomal RNA", at positions 28 to 507 of the family's 1533-position model. The record is from RNAcentral.
GAUGAACGCUGGCGGCGUGCCUAAUACAUGCAAGUCGAGCGAACGGACGAGAAGCUUGCUUCUCUGAUGUUAGCGGCGGACGGGUGAGUAACACGUGGAUAACCUACCUAUAAGACUGGGAUAACUUCGGGAAACCGGAGCUAAUACCGGAUAAUAUUUUGAACCGCAUGGUUCAAAAGUGAAAGACGGUCUUGCUGUCACUUAUAGAUGGAUCCGCGCUGCAUUAGCUAGUUGGUAAGGUAACGGCUUACCAAGGCAACGAUGCAUAGCCGACCUGAGAGGGUGAUAGGCCACACUGGAACUGAGACACGGUCCAGACUCCUACGGGAGGCAGCAGUAGGGAAUCUUCCGCAAUGGGCGAAAGCCUGACGGAGCAACGCCGCGUGAGUGAUGAAGGUCUUCGGAUCGUAAAACUCUGUUAUUAGGGAAGAACAUACGUGUAAGUAACUGUGCACAUCUUGACGGUACCUAAUCAGAAAGCCACGGCUAACUACGUG